Non-coding RNA from Nelumbo nucifera (sacred lotus), 862 nucleotides. NCBI's taxonomy places the organism in Eukaryota, Viridiplantae, Streptophyta, Magnoliopsida, Proteales, Nelumbonaceae. The record is from RefSeq and is a predicted model, not a curated record.
UUUUCUCUUCUCUUCCGCCGAACCCUCCUACUCUAACACAUCGGCGAGCACACCACAGCGGCCAUCGUUCAUCGGCCAUCAUCCACCGGCGGUGAGACUCCGGUGCCAGUACGUUGUCUGGCAUCCUCCUCCUCCUCUUCUCUUCUUCUUCUUCUUCCAAAGGUAUUCCUUGUUUUCUGUUUUGAACAGAUCAAAGGUGACCUGAACCUCAGCUCACACCGGAGGCUCAGAAAAACUGCACGCAGGCUCAGAAAUUGUGGACUUGUUAAGCAUAGGAUACUUUUUGGAUCAAUAGCGAAUAUGGGAUAGCAUCCUUAUGCAAUGUUCGUCCCAGCUAUCUGGAAGUUUGGGAAUAGAGGACUGGAGAAUGGUCACGUUCGAUCUGUUCAAAACAAAAACCAAGGAACACCUCAAGAAGAAGAAGAAGAGGAGGAGGAUGAUGAUUAUGCCAGACAACGUACUGCUGAAUCUGUCGCCGAUGAACGAUGGCCGCCAAUGGAGGCAAGAGACGAUGCGGUCAUCUCUCAUUGGCGGGUUCACAGAACGCGGACUCGGAUUUUUCAUGUUCAGUUUGCGGGAGAUUCGCUAGUGCUCUUUAAGAUUCAAUCUGUCUCUGUUGGAGGAAGCGAUUCCUCCUUUUUGGCGUUUUCAGAAAUUAAAUGCCAAUUUGCAGAGGUUUCAUAAGUUAUCUUCUCCCAGUGCUCAGUUUUACUAAUUUUUUUUUUUUUUUUUUGGUUCAGCCAUUUGGUCUGCUACCUUUUGUUCUCUAUCUUUGCCAUAGUUAUACCCAUGGCCUUUAUUGCUGUCUUGAUUGUAUGUAUGCAUUGCUUAGUGGAUUAUGGCUGGUUAGGCUUCAAAAAAG